Molecule: long non-coding RNA, 452 nt
Organism: Melitaea cinxia (Glanville fritillary)
Lineage: Eukaryota; Metazoa; Arthropoda; Insecta; Lepidoptera; Nymphalidae
Exons: 3
Source: RefSeq, a predicted model, not a curated record
UAUUAUAGUUAUAAAUUUACCAUGUUUGUUGUUAGUCAUUCUAAGUUCCUGAUGAUGACUUACAAGAGCUAUGGUCACGUAUACAUUGUGUAUUUGGAUUCUAAAUAUGUUGUCUUUAAUUUUUAAUGAAUUAUAAUGGAAUUCUAUUAUAUGUUAUAGUUUUAAGUUUGAUCAGAUUUUUCUUAGAAUUUAAGUAUUGUAUGGAUGUUAGACGUAAAUAAAAUAAUUUGAUAUUAUUUGAUGUUCUUAAAAAUGUUUGUAACUACACCAUACGAAAAACUAUUUUCUCGGUAGCAUGAAUGCAUUAAAUAUUGCAUUUUAACUGGUAACCCAGAAACUGCGUGAGAGAAACGGUUAGAAGUAUAUAUUUUUAAUUAGGCCAUUUAAAAUUUUAUCGUUCGUAAUUAUUUUAAGGUUGGGAAAAUAUUGUAUUGAUACAUAGAAAUUAAAAC